GACGAACGCUGGCGGCGUGCUUAACACAUGCAAGUCGAACGGAAAGGCCCUGCUUUUGUGGGGUGCUCGAGUGGCGAACGGGUGAGUAACACGUGAGUAACCUGCCCUUGACUUUGGGAUAACUUCAGGAAACUGGGGCUAAUACCGGAUAGGAGCUCCUGCUGCACGGUGGGGGUUGGAAAGUUUCGGCGGUUGGGGAUGGACUCGCGGCUUAUCAGCUUGUUGGUGGGGUAGUGGCUUACCAAGGCUUUGACGGGUAGCCGGCCUGAGAGGGUGACCGGCCACAUUGGGACUGAGAUACGGCCCAGACUCCUACGGGAGGCAGCAGUGGGGAAUAUUGCACAAUGGGCGGAAGCCUGAUGCAGCAACGCCGCGUGCGGGAUGACGGCCUUCGGGCUGUAAACCGCUUUCGCCUGUGACGAAGCGUGAGUGACGGUAAUGGGUAAAGAAGCACCGGCUAACUACGUG
Molecule: ribosomal RNA, 468 nt
Filed under: uncultured bacterium
Lineage: Bacteria
Description: partial 16S ribosomal RNA
Rfam family: Bacterial small subunit ribosomal RNA
Source: RNAcentral